UGAACGCUGGCGGUAUGCUUAACACAUGCAAGUCGAACGGAAACGAUACUAGCUUGCUAGUAGGCGUCGAGUGGCGGACGGGUGAGUAACGCGUAGGAAUCUGCCUGAUAGUGGGGGAUAGCCCGAAGAAAUUCGGAUUAAUACCGCAUAAUCUAUUCGUAGUAAAGUGGGGGACUUUCGAGCCUCACGCUAUCAGAUGAGCCUGCGUAAGAUUAGCUUGUUGGUAGGGUAAAAGCCUACCAAGGCGACGAUCUUUAGCUGGUCUGAGAGGAUGAUCAGCCACAUCGGGACUGAGACACGGCCCGAACUCCUACGGGAGGCAGCAGUGGGGAAUAUUGGACAAUGGGGGCAACCCUGAUCCAGCAAUACCGCGUGUGUGAAGAAGGCCUGAGGGUUGUAAAGCACUUUCAAUUGUGAAGAAAAGUUAGCGGUUAAUAACCGUUAGCCUUGACGUUAACUUUAGAAGAAGCACCGGCUAACUCCGUGCCAGCAGCCGCGGUAAUACGGAGGGUGCAAGCGUUAAUCGGAAUUACUGGGCGUAAAGCGUGCGUAGGCGGUUUAUUAAGUCAGAUGUGAAAGCCCCGGGCUUAACCUGGGAACUGCAUUUGAAACUGGUCAACUAGAGUAUGGUAGAGGAAAGUGGAAUUUCUGGUGUAGCGGUGAAAUGCGUAGAUAUCAGAAGGAACAUCAAUGGCGAAAGGCAGCUUUCUGGACCAAUACUGACGCUGAGGUACGAAAGCGUGGGUAGCAAACAGGAUUAGAUACCCCUGGUAGUCCACGCCGUAAACGAUGAUAACUAGCCGUUGGAGGGAUUUACCCUUUAGUGGCGAAGCUAACGCGUUAAGUUAUCCGCCUGGGGAGUACGGCCGCAAGGUUAAAACUCAAAGGAAUUGACGGGGACCCGCACAAGCGGUGGAGCAUGUGGUUUAAUUCGAUGCAACGCGAAGAACCUUACCUGGUCUUGACAUCCUGCGAACUUUCUAGAAAUAGAUUGGUGCCUUCGGGAACGCAGUGACAGGUGCUGCAUGGCUGUCGUCAGCUCGUGUCGUGAGAUGUUGGGUUAAGUCCCGUAACGAGCGCAACCCCUAUCCUUAUUUGCCAGCACAUCAUGGUGGGAACUAUAAGGAGACUGCCGGUGAUAAACCGGAGGAAGGCGGGGACGACGUCAAGUCAUCAUGGCCCUUACGACCAGGGCUACACACGUGCUACAAUGGGAAGGACAAAGAGCCGCGAAGCCGCGAGGUGUAGCUAAUCUCAUAAACCUUUUCGUAGUCCGGAUUGGAGUCUGCAACUCGACUCCAUGAAGUCGGAAUCGCUAGUAAUCGUAGAUCAGAAUGCUACGGUGAAUACGUUCCCGGGUCUUGUACACACCGCC
Molecule: ribosomal RNA, 1375 nt
Filed under: uncultured bacterium
Lineage: Bacteria
Description: 16S ribosomal RNA
Rfam family: Bacterial small subunit ribosomal RNA
Source: RNAcentral